GCAAGUCGAGGGGUAACAGAGAGAAGCUUGCUUCUUUGCUGACGACCGGCGCACGGGUGCGUAACGCGUAUGCAACCUACCCUGUACUGAGGGAUAGCCCGAAGAAAUUCGGAUUAACACCUCAUAGUAUUGUUACACCGCAUGGUGUUGACAAUUAAAGGUUACGGUACAGGAUGGGCAUGCGUCCUAUUAGCUAGAUGGUAAGGUAACGGCUUACCAUGGCAACGAUAGGUAGGGGUUCUGAGAGGAUAGUC
RNAcentral lists this ribosomal RNA (254 nucleotides) under uncultured bacterium. RNAcentral's name for it is "partial 16S ribosomal RNA". It matches the Rfam family "Bacterial small subunit ribosomal RNA", at positions 57 to 305 of the family's 1533-position model. The record is from RNAcentral.